This 270-nucleotide ribosomal RNA is filed under the name uncultured Strombidinopsis. RNAcentral describes it as "partial Eukaryotic small subunit ribosomal RNA". It matches the Rfam family "Eukaryotic small subunit ribosomal RNA", at positions 773 to 1043 of the family's 1831-position model. The record is from RNAcentral. Lineage: Eukaryota; Ciliophora; Spirotrichea; Choreotrichida.
GUUUCAAGCAGGCAGUCGCUCUUGCAUGGAUUAGCAUGGGAUAAUGAAAUAGGACUCUGGUGCUAUUUUGUUGGUUUCGAGCACCGGAGUAAUGAUUAACAGGGACAGUCAGGGGCACUCGUAUUCCGCCGAGAGAGGUGAAAUUCUCAGACCAGCGGAAGACGAACGACUGCGAAAGCAUUUGCCAGGGAUGUUUUCACUGAUCAAGAACGAAAGUUAGGGGAUCGAAGACGAUCAGAUACCGUCGUAGUCUUAACCAUAAACUAUGCC